Molecule: small nuclear RNA, 20 nt
Filed under: Arabidopsis thaliana (thale cress)
Lineage: Eukaryota; Viridiplantae; Streptophyta; Magnoliopsida; Brassicales; Brassicaceae
Description: snRNA_17993
Source: RNAcentral
GACUCACGCUCAAGAGAACC